RNAcentral lists this long non-coding RNA (682 nucleotides) under Microcebus murinus (gray mouse lemur). RNAcentral describes it as "lncRNA (ENSMICG00000048318.1)". The record is from RNAcentral. Lineage: Eukaryota; Metazoa; Chordata; Mammalia; Primates; Cheirogaleidae.
CAGAUUUUGUAAUUCAUUUGUUUGCACAUAAAAAUGCAUUUUCCUGCUCUCACACUCCUUAGUAAUUCUCUUCCUAAGCCAUUUUGCAGCGUAUUUGUCAAGGAAAUUUGCCAUUUUCGAUUUGGAGACAACAACUCAAGUCAGAGUAAGGACCCAACGUCACCAUCGAUAAAUCAUUUGUGCAAUUCCCAGAGUGUAAAGGAUGACUGCAGGGCUCCAGGCGCUUUCGUUUGUUAUGAUCUCUCCACCGGGGAGUUCGUGGAUGUGGCCAAGAGCAAGUUACAACCUCUCUGGGCCUUUGUUCCCACGUCUUUGAGACCCAGAUUGAUAUUAUUAAUAAUGGCUACUUGCAGAGUAAAUCUACGUCCAAGUGUUUACUCACCUGAGCCCUGGUCAUGUGUCUGGGAGGAUCUGAAUGAAAUACUGAGAUCACUGCCAUCUUGCUUCCUCUUUUCCUACCGUGUCUGGUGGAGACCCAUCGGAGGGGAUCUGAUCUCUCCAGCUAUCUUGUGAAGCUUAAACUAAAAUGGCUUUUGCGAUCAAGCUGAACUAGAAGACAAAAUAAAAAAGUGGAAGGUCAUACCUCUUGAUGGUGCAGAGAUUUCUCACCUUCAACUUUGACCACACGACUCCUAAAGUAAUAAUACUGAUGUGACGGCUCUAACAGCAACCAUGAGAUUAU